ACCGAGCGCGGAGUUCAGGAGUCUCGGACCCGAAGCCGCCACAGGGCGCCCCGCCUCCCGCCCGCCAUGCCCGCGCCCCGCGCCCCGCGCGCUCUGGCGGCCGCCGCGCCCGCGUCCGGGAAGGCCAAGCUGACGCACCCGGGGAAGGCGAUCCUGGCAGGCGGCCUGGCGGGUGGCAUCGAGAUCUGCAUCACUUUCCCCACCGAGUACGUGAAGACGCAGCUGCAGCUGGACGAGCGCUCGCACCCGCCGCGGUACCGGGGCAUCGGGGACUGCGUGCGGCAGACGGUUCGCAGCCAUGGCGUCCUGGGCCUGUACCGCGGCCUUAGCUCCCUGCUCUACGGCUCCAUCCCCAAGGCGGCCGUCAGGUGAGGCCCGGCCGGUGGCUGCUGCGGGAGGGGGGCUCGGCCGCGGCAGCCCCUCUCACCCGCCUCCCGCCUCCAGGUUUGGAAUGUUCGAGUUCCUCAGCAACCACAUGCGGGAUGCCCAGGGACGGCUGGACAGCACGCGUGGGCUGCUGUGCGGCCUGGGCGCUGGCGUGGCCGAGGCCGUGGUGGUCGUGUGCCCCAUGGAGACCAUCAAGGUGAAGUUCAUCCACGACCAGACCUCCCCAAACCCCAAGUACAGAGGAUUCUUCCACGGGGUUAGGGAGAUUGUGCGGGAACAAGGGCUGAAGGGGACGUACCAGGGCCUCACAGCCACUGUCCUGAAGCAGGGCUCGAACCAGGCCAUCCGCUUCUUCGUCAUGACCUCCCUGCGCAACUGGUACCGAGGGGACAACCCCAACAAGCCCAUGAACCCUCUGAUCACUGGGGUCUUCGGAGCUAUUGCAGGCGCAGCCAGUGUCUUUGGAAACACUCCUCUGGAUGUGAUUAAGACCCGGAUGCAGGGCCUGGAGGCGCACAAAUACCGGAACACGUGGGACUGCGGCUUGCAGAUCCUGAGGAAGGAGGGGCUCAAGGCAUUCUACAAGGGCACUGUCCCCCGCCUGGGCCGGGUCUGCCUGGAUGUGGCCAUAGUGUUUGUCAUCUAUGAUGAAGUGGUGAAGCUGCUCAACAAAGUGUGGAAGACGGACUAAGCCUAGAGAGGCCGCAAGGGGACCGCCCCAGGCACCUCCAGAGUGUCCUGCUACCUUUGUCUCACAUGAUUCCAGUGCAGUAGUGCCAAAAGGCCCCUUCCCACGUCCCUCGAGCUCUGUAGCCUGGUCUGUGCAUUGUGGCUGUCAAAUCCAUGUGUCCCCCCUGUGGUCUGUGUGUGACACCACCACUGUGUCCCAGUGUCUGGCCCAGCCAUGGCUGGAUGUGCAUCUGGCCUAUGACCCUGUGCCCACUUGUCCAUGUGCUUACUGUGAACCCUGUGCCUGUGUUUCAUGUUCUGUGUCACGUGACCCUGUGCCCCGCCUCCCGGGGUGCCCGUGUGGCCUGGGUCCUCGGCCCUGUAGCCCUGGCCUGGUCCCAGUCCGGUGCCUUCCACCCUGCCCUGGCCUACCACAGCUGCCUCCGGGCCUCGGCCUGGCUUCACCGCAUUCCAGGGGCUGCAGCCCCCUGCUUCUCCCGCCAUUGGCCUUAACUGGCCCUCGGGCCCUCCCUUCGCCCCGGACAGGGUGGCACCCACCACUCUCAGGACCACCCUGC
RNAcentral lists this small RNA (1634 nucleotides) under Pan troglodytes (chimpanzee). Its description in RNAcentral is "retained intron". The record is from RNAcentral. Lineage: Eukaryota; Metazoa; Chordata; Mammalia; Primates; Hominidae.